GAUUAGUAGCAGAGAAACUAGAAUGGGGGAACACUGAUCAGAUCAAUGAAAUUUUACAGAAACAUCCUGGAGGUUUUGACAUCAUUCUUGGAGCUGAUAUCUAUAUCCUUAUGUAUUUAAUCCCACUGUUCUCAUACUUUAGAACUAAGCAAAAUUGCCUUCAAAUAUGAUGGCUUGAUGAAAUAUAGGUAAAUACAUAAAUACUGAUAUCUCUUUUCUAAAUCAGACAUCUUUUUUUUACGAGGACAAAUAUCAGUAGAUGAAUUUAUUUAUUUUCCUGAAAAAGCCAAAGUUUUAUUCAAUAUGGUUAAAAUAACCCAGUAAUAUUCAUUACUAACCCAGCAUGUUACAAAGUGUUUUUCUCAUCUACCUAUUUUAAAGCCUUUGCUAGAUGUUAUAGCAUUAUGAGAACUAAUUUCAGUUUUUUUGCUGAAAUGAAUUAGAGGAUCAAAUGACACUGAAUUUCUGUGAAGCUUGAAAUUAAAAUGUGCUUUUCAUCUAUAGAUUUUGUGUAAUAAUAUUUCAUUUUCCCCAAAGAAAAAUUAAUUUCAUUGACCUUGACAACCACAAGCUUUCAGCAGUCAAGCAUCCCUUUGCUGUUUGAUAGUGUUAGACAGCUUCUCCAAGUUAAAGAAGGCGGAAAAUGCAAGUUCAUACUAGCCUAUGUAUCACGAGCCAAGAUG
RNAcentral lists this long non-coding RNA (683 nucleotides) under Trifolium pratense (red clover). Its description in RNAcentral is "long non-coding RNA (TPRA_LNC001396)". Lineage: Eukaryota; Viridiplantae; Streptophyta; Magnoliopsida; Fabales; Fabaceae. The record is from RNAcentral.